CCUACGGGAGGCAGCAGUGGGGAAUAUUGGACAAUGGGCGAAAGUCUGAUCCAGCCAUGCCGCGUGUGUGAAGAAGGCCUUCGGGUUGUAAAGCACUUUCAGUGGGGAAGAAAGCCUUGGGGCUAAUACCCUCGAGGAAGGACAUCACCCACAGAAGAAGCACCGGCUAACUCCGUGCCAGCAGCCGCGGUAAUACGGAGGGUGCGAGCGUUAAUCGGAAUUACUGGGCGUAAAGCGCGCGUAGGCGGUCUGAUAAGCCGGUUGUGAAAGCCCCGGGCUCAACCUGGGAACGGCAUCCGGAACUGUCAGGCUAGAGUGCAGGAGAGGAAGGUAGAAUUCCCGGUGUAGCGGUGAAAUGCGUAGAGAUCGGGAGGAAUACCAGUGGCGAAGGCGGCCUUCUGGACUGACACUGACGCUGAGGUGCGAAAGCGUGGGUAGCAAACAGGAUUAGAUACCCCGGUAGUC
Molecule: ribosomal RNA, 465 nt
Filed under: Vreelandella stevensii
Lineage: Bacteria; Pseudomonadati; Pseudomonadota; Gammaproteobacteria; Oceanospirillales; Halomonadaceae
Description: partial 16S ribosomal RNA
Rfam family: Bacterial small subunit ribosomal RNA
Source: RNAcentral